AUGAAAAAUCUCUCAACCAAGGAACUGAAACAACUUGCGGAUGGACAUCGUUCUGAUGUUGUUUUCAGAGUUUCAAGAAUUAGAGGUCAUUUAGGUUCAAGUAUAGGUGUUGUUGAACUCGCUAUUGCUCUUCACUAUGUCUUUAAUACUCCCCAGGACAAGAUUUUAUGGGAUGUCGGUCAUCAGAUUGGUGUUUAUCUAUGGUUGUUGAGAAUGAUUUUAACUUUGAUGCGUGGUCUAAUUUGA
Molecule: non-coding RNA, 246 nt
Organism: Vicia faba (fava bean)
Lineage: Eukaryota; Viridiplantae; Streptophyta; Magnoliopsida; Fabales; Fabaceae
Source: the annotation of a GenBank genome assembly